UAGAGGUUAUAAUAACGCUAUCUAUUUAAAUAACUGGUCAGGUCUGGAAAGAAGCAGCCAAAUUAAAUAAUAUAGGUGUUAUUAGAUCUCUAGCA
Molecule: signal recognition particle RNA, 95 nt
Filed under: Buchnera aphidicola (Cinara cuneomaculata)
Lineage: Bacteria; Pseudomonadati; Pseudomonadota; Gammaproteobacteria; Enterobacterales; Erwiniaceae
Description: 4.5S sRNA component of Signal Recognition Particle (SRP)
Rfam family: Bacterial small signal recognition particle RNA (bases 7-90)
About the family: The signal recognition particle (SRP) is a universally conserved ribonucleoprotein involved in the co-translational targeting of proteins to membranes. Archaeal SRP consists of a 7S RNA and homologues of the eukaryotic SRP19 and SRP54 proteins.
Source: RNAcentral